RNAcentral lists this transfer RNA (88 nucleotides) under Bacillota bacterium. Its description in RNAcentral is "tRNA-Ser". It matches the Rfam family "tRNA". From Rfam's summary of the family: Transfer RNA (tRNA) molecules are approximately 80 nucleotides in length. Their secondary structure includes four short double-helical elements and three loops (D, anti-codon, and T loops). Further hydrogen bonds mediate the characteristic L-shaped molecular structure. tRNAs have two regions of fundamental functional importance: the anti-codon, which is responsible for specific mRNA codon recognition, and the 3' end, to which the tRNAs corresponding amino acid is attached (by aminoacyl-tRNA synthetases). tRNAs cope with the degeneracy of the genetic code in two manners: having more than one tRNA (with a specific anti-codon) for a particular amino acid; and 'wobble' base-pairing, i.e. permitting non-standard base-pairing at the 3rd anti-codon position. RNAcentral also lists the same sequence under 1 other name. Lineage: Bacteria; Bacillati; Bacillota. The record is from RNAcentral.
GGAAGGUUGGCUGAGCGGUCGAAAGCGGCGGUCUUGAAAACCGUUGAUGUGAGAGCAUCCUGGGGUUCGAAUCCCUAACCUUCCGCCA